Mytilus trossulus (common blue mussel) is the source of this 69-nucleotide non-coding RNA. NCBI's taxonomy places the organism in Eukaryota, Metazoa, Mollusca, Bivalvia, Mytilida, Mytilidae. The record is from the annotation of a RefSeq genome assembly.
GAUAAGGUGGUCUAAUAUUAGGAUAUAGGGCUCAUGCCCCUAAGGCGCCGUGAGUAGUGGCUCUUAUCU